This 600-nucleotide unclassified non-coding RNA is filed under the name Penicillium shearii. RNAcentral's name for it is "sequence contains 18S rRNA gene, ITS1, 5.8S rRNA gene, ITS2, 28S rRNA gene". The stretch from base 230 to 383 matches the Rfam family "5.8S ribosomal RNA". Lineage: Eukaryota; Fungi; Ascomycota; Eurotiomycetes; Eurotiales; Aspergillaceae. The record is from RNAcentral.
UGGAAGUAAAAAGUCGUAACAAGGUUUCCGUAGGUGAACCUGCGGAAGGAUCAUUACUGAGUGAGGGCCCUCUGGGUCCAACCUCCCACCCGUGUUUAACGAACCUUGUUGCUUCGGCGGGCCCGCCUCACGGCCGCCGGGGGGCAUCCGCCCCCGGGCCCGCGCCCGCCGAAGACACCUGUGAACUCUGUCUGAAGUUGCAGUCUGAGAAACUAUUUAAAUUAGUUAAAACUUUCAACAACGGAUCUCUUGGUUCCGGCAUCGAUGAAGAACGCAGCGAAAUGCGAUAAAUAAUGUGAAUUGCAGAAUUCAGUGAAUCAUCGAGUCUUUGAACGCACAUUGCGCCCUCUGGUAUUCCGGAGGGCAUGCCUGUCCGAGCGUCAUUGCUGCCCUCAAGCACGGCUUGUGUGUUGGGCCCCGUCCCCCCCCUCCCGGGGGGACGGGCCCGAAAGGCAGCGGCGGCACCGCGUCCGGUCCUCGAGCGUAUGGGGCUUUGUCACCCGCUCUUGUAGGCCCGGCCGGCGCUUGCCGACCCCCUCAAUCUAUUUUUCAGGUUGACCUCGGAUCAGGUAGGGAUACCCGCUGAACUUAAGCAUAUCA